CAGAGUUAUACAACUCCCAUACCAUCUGUUAACCUACCCAGUUAUGCCUCGGCGUAAGCUCGGUUGGAGGCACCUGCAGCUACCCUGUAGUUGCGGACUGCCAACUCCAGCCGCGGCCCGCCGGCGGUACACUAAACUCUGUUUUAUUUUAUAUUCUGAGCGUCUUAUUUUAAUAAGUUA
This 180-nucleotide unclassified non-coding RNA is filed under the name soil metagenome. RNAcentral's name for it is "partial internal transcribed spacer 1". RNAcentral also lists the same sequence under 1 other name. The record is from RNAcentral.